CCUACGGGAGGCAGCAGUAGGGAAUAUUGCUCAAUGGGGGAAACCCUGAAGCAGCAACGCCGCGUGGAGGAUGAAGGUUUUCGGAUUGUAAACUCCUUUUGUUAGAGAAGAUAAUGACGGUAUCUAACGAAUAAGCACCGGCUAACUCCGUGCCAGCAGCCGCGGUAAUACGGAGGUUGCAAGCGUUACUCGGAAUCACUGGGCGUAAAGAGCGCGUAGGCGGGAUAGAAAGUCAGAUGUGAAAUCCUAUGGCUUAACCAUAGAACUGCAUUUGAAACUGUUAUUCUAGGGUAUGGAGGGGUUAGGUGAAAUCUUGGUGUAGGGGGUAAAACCGU
This 335-nucleotide ribosomal RNA is filed under the name uncultured bacterium. Its description in RNAcentral is "partial 16S ribosomal RNA". It matches the Rfam family "Bacterial small subunit ribosomal RNA", at positions 338 to 691 of the family's 1533-position model. The record is from RNAcentral.